GUUACUUGAGUGAUUCUCCGGCGUCCAGCACUCGAUUUCUCCGAUACUUGCGUUGGCUUGUUUUUGUUCGUUUGAUCCGUUCGGUGGGUUUGUCUGGUUUGGAGCUGUGCACGUGGUGGGCCCCACGUGUUUGUGUCUGCUGUUUCAUUUUGGGAGCCGAACCUUUUAAUGUCCCGUUGCUUUGACCCUUUGACCAUUCCCUUUUCUCUUCUCUCGUUCUCCGUCAGGACUCAGGAGGACGUUCUCCACCAGGGGCAUCCCGGCUCUCAGCCAGGAGCGCAGGUCCAUGUAGGUGGAGAAGACCGUGUCAUCUCUGGCACAGUUCUGAGCAUUGAACUGGUGCCUGUGGGCAACAGUGCUAGUUCUUAUAUUGACUUUAAGGAAGGGUUGUAUUCUAGAUGCAGCUUCAUAUUGAGUAUCCUUUCUACAAUGGCUUCAUAUUGAAUUGGUGCCUUUGUUUUCUGAUUGAAAAUUAUGUUGCAUUCUAUAUACAAUACAGUCUGUUCAUUAUAAAGUUUUAGUACUAAUUGUACUAUCAUUUUUGUGUAAUCAAGGUGUAAAUACUAUAUAGUAGAUAUUUUCAUAUUUACAUUUUCUAAUAUUUGCUAUUUGCAUCUGCAGGGUUUAGGUCAACAAAUAGUUCGAGUUACAGUGCAAACAUGUUAAAUCGCCAGUGUACCUUGAACUGUCAUUUAUUUGAGUUCUUGUUGUAAUUUCUUUUUCUUUUUUUAGCUUUUUUUUUGUAUUUGCCAUUUGGCAUUUUUUGUGGGGUUUAAAGGCACCCUCAAAUUUUUGUUGUCUGUAUUCCAUAGAAAUAUUUUGAAAACAUUUGUUUAUAUUAAAAUUUGUGUUUUCACUUUUU
This is a long non-coding RNA of Panicum virgatum (switchgrass), 862 nucleotides long. RefSeq lists it as uncharacterized. The transcript has 2 exons. NCBI's taxonomy places the organism in Eukaryota, Viridiplantae, Streptophyta, Magnoliopsida, Poales, Poaceae. The record is from RefSeq and is a predicted model, not a curated record.